UAAGGCAUGUUCAGAGAGCGCGAAAGCCACCGAAGAGGCAAGUUGUUGAAAAACAAUGAAUCUUUCAGGUAAAAGGAUGAAUAUGUUGGG
This 90-nucleotide non-coding RNA is filed under the name Oribacterium sinus. RNAcentral describes it as "Glycine sequence". It matches the Rfam family "Glycine riboswitch aptamer". From Rfam's summary of the family: This family represents the bacterial glycine riboswitch. Lineage: Bacteria; Bacillati; Bacillota; Clostridia; Lachnospirales; Lachnospiraceae. RNAcentral also lists the same sequence under 1 other name. The record is from RNAcentral.